Transfer RNA from Loxodonta africana (African savanna elephant), 73 nucleotides. It matches the Rfam family "tRNA". From Rfam's summary of the family: Transfer RNA (tRNA) molecules are approximately 80 nucleotides in length. NCBI's taxonomy places the organism in Eukaryota, Metazoa, Chordata, Mammalia, Proboscidea, Elephantidae. The record is from Rfam.
GGGGAAUUAGCUCAGAUGGUAGAGCGCACGCUUUGCAUGUGAGAGGUAGCAGGGUCGAUGCCCGCAUUCCCCA